Molecule: ribosomal RNA, 280 nt
Filed under: uncultured fungus
Lineage: Eukaryota; Fungi
Description: partial 18S ribosomal RNA
Rfam family: Eukaryotic small subunit ribosomal RNA
Source: RNAcentral
AAGACAAACUACUGCGAAAGCAUUUGCCAAGGAUGUUUUCAUUGAUCAAGGACGAAGGAAGGGGGAUCGAAAACGACCAGAUACCGUUGUAGUCUCUUCUGUAAACUAUGCCAAUUGGGGAUCAGCUAAGAAUUUCAAUGACUUAGUUGGCACCCGAAGAGAAAUCUUUAANUGAGGUUCGGGGGGGAGUAUGGUCGCAAGGCUGAAACUUAAAGGAAUUGACGGAAGGGCACCACCAGGUGUGGAGCCUGCGGCUUAAUUUGACUCAACACGGGGAAAC